Molecule: long non-coding RNA, 1023 nt
Organism: Physeter macrocephalus (sperm whale)
Lineage: Eukaryota; Metazoa; Chordata; Mammalia; Artiodactyla; Physeteridae
Exons: 3
Source: RefSeq, a predicted model, not a curated record
GGCUGGUAGUAGUCUUGAGGACAUGGAUAACAGGGCAUUAAUCCAGAACGAGAGAACUCUCCUACUCGACAAGGCACUGCAAAAUUGAAGUAUUUUCUGGACAUACGAGGCAUCCCCGGGAACCAAAUGCUGGCUGAUAGCUGCCCAGUGGACAAGAUUCGCAGGUCUCAAGCCCAUUUGAUGAGAACUACUGCCCACUGAAGGCAAGUCUGAGGCAUCCUCAGACCCAAAGGCUCCGAGGAAACAGGCCAAUUUUAGAACCUUCCUUCCUUGAAGAUUUGGUCUACUGUUCGGAGGCCUGGAGUGCAGAAUUUCUGAGACCAAAGUGGGAUGUUAAAUUCACUGAAAGGCUGCUAUCAAAGUUAGUAUUUUUAUAGAGAGGAUACUUGAAAGAAUCACUUGGGUGAUUCUGAGGUGUUAAGGUAUGUAAGAAUUACCUGGCAACUUAUUAAAUUUCAGAUUCCAAUGCCCUAACCCCAAGGGGUCAGAUGCAUCCGUUUUGGGAUGGGGCUUUAAUCAAGCUGCAUUUUGAAAGCACUUCAGGGUAUGCUGACACAUGUAGUCUGAAGACCACACUGAGAAAUGCAAAAUGCUGGCCAAGGCAAUUCCUGAUUUUCACUCACAGAUUGAGAAAGAAACAAGAGGAGGUUCAGAAAGACAUCGUUAAUGUGCUUUUUGAUGGGCUGGGUUUAUCACACUGUGAAAAACUCAACUGAGCUCUGGGAAUAGCAAUAAGAACUGUUGAGGAAGGUUUUCCGACCAGGACACAAGAGCCCCAACCUACAGAGAGGUUAACAGAAGACUCAUGUCAGUUGGUUCCAUUGAGUGUACAGAGUUUGGUCAGAGGAGAUCCCGCCAUCUAUAAAUGAUGACUUAUUUGGGAAAGAGACUGGAACUGAUCCAGAUUGUGAGAGUCUAAAAUAGGGGUAAAAGCUAAGGAACUCGGGGGAGGGAGAAUGGGGAAUGGAAGUUUAAUGGGUCUGGGGUCUCCUUUGGGGGUGAUGAAAAUGUUCUGGAAUUGUG